Molecule: long non-coding RNA, 1465 nt
Organism: Cottoperca gobio
Lineage: Eukaryota; Metazoa; Chordata; Actinopteri; Perciformes; Bovichtidae
Exons: 4
Source: RefSeq, a predicted model, not a curated record
UGUUCACUGGACAUAAUCACAACGUGAAAGAAUAGAAACGACUAAAAUCAACUUCUCAAUACAUUAUGACUUCCCCAGACUGUCUAAGACUGUAAAGACUGGACAUGGGGGAAGCAGCCUGACUAAGUUCAAAGAUUUUCCAAGUCGGCUCCAGAAUAAAGCUCGGUCUCUGCGGCCAGCUCCUCCAGACACACAUCAGCAGCCACUGGCAUCGACUUUGUACACAUCUUCAGGAUGCAAAGACGAGCCUGGACACACGGACAAAUAACUUACCUGCUGGUCAGGUGGAGGAACAUAGAUGAUGUGGUCCAGUCUGCCAGGUCUGAGGAGGGCACUGUCUAAGCAGUCAGUGGAGGCAACUCUGUCCUGCCCAGGCUGCUCCGCAGGCAGGAGGGACGCACCGCCUUCAGGGCUUCCUGGAAGUGCUUCAUACCAACCGCCUGCUCUCCUGAACUCUACAGAUAACAAGAAAAGUUAUUCUAUUUCUAUUUUUACUUUCAAAAGGGUUAUGUGUCAGGUUUGAGGUUUAUCAGAUACACGUGUCCAUAUAUGGAACGCAAGUGCAUCUUUGUUUUUAAAGAAUGCCUGGCCAACUUACACAACUCAGACCGUACUUUUAAUAAGCAUACACAUGUUGGUUUGCCAAAUAGCCACCUUAAUACUCUUCUUUAGCUGUAAAGCUGUAAAUAUGAGUGAAGCAGCAAAAUAUGUCAUAAUAAGUCAUUCGAGACACAUUUCAGACAUACUGUGUGAACGGCCGUCCAAUGUUUUCCUUUUUCAGAAUACGAUGCUUGAUGCCUGCAUCAUUGUUUUCUGUAUCAAACGGUUGGAUGGACCUCAUUACAGUCGAGAAGAAAUAGCGAUCUCAUGUUAUUCAUUUAUAAAGCUCGACUGUUGAAGCUUCCAAACUACGUCACAUCUCUUCUCUCGUUUAAAUCUAUUAACUACAGUACACGAUCUCGUGACCACUUAACCUUAGAUAUCCUUCAUGUACGCACCAAUGUUGGCACAACUGGUUUUAUGAUUAUUGAACUUUUUAAUUCCUUGUUAUUGUAGUUUAGUUGUUUCUGUUUUGUUGUUUGUGUUCUUGUGAAUGUUCCUUGUUGGCAGGUCUCACUUGCAAAAUACAUUUUAAUUCUCAAUGAGACUCCCUGACAAAAUAAAGAUUGAAGUAAAAAUAAAUGAAUUAUAAAAUACCUUUGAGUUUUCCCGUAUAGCGUGCAUGGCAGCCUCUCUGCACAGGGCGCUGAGGUCUGCUCCUACAUAGCCUGUAGUUCUCUGUGCGAGCUCUGCCAUGUCCACACUUGGACACACGGGCAUCCUCGCACACAGAACGGACAAGAUGGCUUUUCUCUGCUGCAGGGUGGGAGCUCCAAUGAUAACCUGAAGGAAAGACGUACAAAUUUAGAGCCUCAAAGAUUUAUUUACAUUUAUUAAUACAUUUUGGGUGCAUGUAUUUCAUCAU